This 28-nucleotide non-coding RNA is filed under the name Rattus norvegicus (Norway rat). The record is from RNAcentral. Lineage: Eukaryota; Metazoa; Chordata; Mammalia; Rodentia; Muridae.
UGGAGGCAUUUCCUCAAGGGAGGCUCUU